Molecule: ribosomal RNA, 552 nt
Filed under: Triticum aestivum (bread wheat)
Lineage: Eukaryota; Viridiplantae; Streptophyta; Magnoliopsida; Poales; Poaceae
Description: partial small subunit ribosomal RNA
Source: RNAcentral
AAGCUUCUCUGGUCCUUCACUAACCGGGGCUAAAAGUCCUGAAAUCGAAAAUGCCAAAAUAGGAAUAAGGCUUGCUAUUAUUAGAAAUGUCCAAAAAAUAUCAUAUUCGUGAAGCAGAAACAUAAUGUACUCCCAUUAAUGUGGAAUAGGCGGAACUUAAAUUAGUCAAUUCAAUUCAGCAUUGUCAAUUUAUCCAGAACUUCUCUCUUUUCCUCGGUGAAAGAAGAAUCUUUUUUGUUCAAACAAAAGCGCUUAGUUUAGCCUUUGUUUCCUCUGUGCUGCAUCUUCUUUAAAGAUUCAUCCAAUGGAAUCCCAACUCCCUUUCUUUUGGAUUUCCAUUCUAUUUAGAUAUGGUGUAUGUAGAUCUAAUUCUUAUAUAAAGAAAACUUUCUCGUUUCACUUUGUCUUGCUUUCUCUAGAAUCUCUAGAAAAAAGAAUAGCUCUAUCCUUUAUUUAAUAUUUAAUAAUAAAAUAAUAAGAGACUAUUAAAUAAAAAUGAGAAUACUACUAAAUUAGAACCUAAUUAAGAUAGUAGGACUAAUCUAUGCAGUA